Molecule: long non-coding RNA, 257 nt
Filed under: Carica papaya (papaya)
Lineage: Eukaryota; Viridiplantae; Streptophyta; Magnoliopsida; Brassicales; Caricaceae
Description: long non-coding RNA (CPAP_LNC003970)
Source: RNAcentral
UAAACUAAGAUUCGUUCAACGUGAAUCAAGGAGUGGGGGUUGUGCGUUUGAUGUACAUUCUACCGGUUUAUGAUGAACCCAUCUCAUUGACAGAGAUUUAGACCCACUUCAGACUUGGAUGGGCAUGCAUGUUUUUAUUUUGAUCGAGGUCAUCUAGCGAAGUACUGCUACGGUUAUGUUAUUUGUUUUUUAUUAGUGUGUAUUCGGCUUGUCCAUGCAGUGUAGGAAUCCAUUUGCCACUCGUUGAUAACGGUAUA